This 395-nucleotide ribosomal RNA is filed under the name uncultured bacterium. RNAcentral's name for it is "bacterial SSU rRNA". It matches the Rfam family "Bacterial small subunit ribosomal RNA", at positions 93 to 487 of the family's 1533-position model. The record is from RNAcentral.
UAGCGGCGGCCGGGUGAGUAAUGCUUAGGAAUCUGCCUAUUAGUGGGGGCCAACAUUCCGAAAGGGAUGCUUAAUCCCGCAUACGUCCUCCGGGAGAAAGCAGGGGAUCUUCGGCCCUUGCGCUAAUAGAUGCGCCUAAGUCGGAUUAGCUAGUUGGUGGGGUAAAGGCCUACCAAGGCGACGAUCUGUAGCGGGUCUGACAGGAUGUCCGCCCCCUGGGAAUGGGCCCCGGCCCAGACUCCUACGGGAGGCAGCAGUGGGGAAUAUUGGCCAAUGGGGGGAACCCUGAUCCAGCCAUGCCGCGUGUGUGAAGAAGGCCUUAUGGUUGUAAAGCCCUUUCAGCGAGGAGGAGGCUACUGAGACUAAUACUCUUGGAUAGGGACGUUUGCUCCGCC